GAUGAACGCUGGCGGCGUGCCUAAUACAUGCAAGUCGAGCGAACAGACGAGGAGCUUGCUCCUCUGACGUUAGCGGCGGACGGGUGAGUAACACGUGGAUAACCUACCUAUAAGACUGGGAUAACUUCGGGAAACCGGAGCUAAUACCGGAUAAUAUAUUGAACCGCAUGGUUCAAUAGUGAAAGACGGUUUUGCUGUCACUUAUAGAUGGAUCCGCGCCGCAUUAGCUAGUUGGUAAGGUAACGGCUUACCAAGGCAACGAUGCGUAGCCGACCUGAGAGGGUGAUCGGCCACACUAGAACUGAGACACGGUCCAGACUCCUACGGGAGGCAGCAGUAGGGAAUCUGCCGCAAUGGGCGAAAGCCUGACGGAGCAACGCCGCGUGAGCGAUGAAGGUCUUCGGAUCGUAAAACUCUGUUAUUAGGGAAGAACAAAUGUGUAAGUAACUAUGCACGUCUUGACGGUACCUAAUCAGAAAGCCACGGCUAACUACGUG
This 497-nucleotide ribosomal RNA is filed under the name uncultured bacterium. Its description in RNAcentral is "partial 16S ribosomal RNA". It matches the Rfam family "Bacterial small subunit ribosomal RNA", at positions 28 to 507 of the family's 1533-position model. The record is from RNAcentral.